Molecule: ribosomal RNA, 253 nt
Filed under: uncultured bacterium
Lineage: Bacteria
Description: partial 16S ribosomal RNA
Rfam family: Bacterial small subunit ribosomal RNA
Source: RNAcentral
UACGUAGGGUGCGAGCGUUAAUCGGAAUUACUGGGCGUAAAGCGUGCGCAGGCGGUUCGUUGUGUCGGCGGUGAAAGCCCCGGGCUCAACCUGGGAAUGGCCGUUGAAACUGGCGAACUGGAGUGUGGCAGAGGGGGGUGGAAUUCCGCGUGUAGCAGUGAAAUGCGUAGAGAUCGGAAAGAACACCAACGGCGAAAGCACUCUGCUGGGCCGACACUGACACUGAGAGACGAAAGCUAGGGGAGCGAAUGGG